GCACCCGUAGUUUAAUGGAUAGAAUAACGGAUUCCGGUUCCGUCGGUUUGGGUUCGAUUCCCAACGGGUGUA
This 72-nucleotide transfer RNA is filed under the name Prevotella sp. RNAcentral's name for it is "tRNA-Arg". It matches the Rfam family "tRNA". From Rfam's summary of the family: Transfer RNA (tRNA) molecules are approximately 80 nucleotides in length. Their secondary structure includes four short double-helical elements and three loops (D, anti-codon, and T loops). The record is from RNAcentral. Lineage: Bacteria; Pseudomonadati; Bacteroidota; Bacteroidia; Bacteroidales; Prevotellaceae.